GCGUCUUCUCUAUGUCAUCACAGAUAUCCCAACUGAUGACUUAUGGAAUGAUGUUCGAACUGCUCUUGGCAUCCUUGGUGUGGCUUUCCAGCUUGAGUGCAAAACUAUUAUUAGUGCUUGUGUGAAUUACUUGGAAGCAGUACCAUGGGAGGAGGAUGAGGAGGAGGAAAUUUUGAAGGUUAUACCUCAUAUGGGACCAGAAGCUGAGCCAAUUCUUGCUCGUCUUCAGCCGGUCAAUUCAUCUCUUGUUAGACAGAUAUUUCUUUCCGCUCUUCGAUUGGCUACAUCAUCUCCCUUUUCUAACAU
Molecule: long non-coding RNA, 306 nt
Filed under: Cucumis sativus (cucumber)
Lineage: Eukaryota; Viridiplantae; Streptophyta; Magnoliopsida; Cucurbitales; Cucurbitaceae
Description: long non-coding RNA (CSAT_LNC001497)
Source: RNAcentral